Molecule: ribosomal RNA, 552 nt
Filed under: uncultured Ambisporaceae
Lineage: Eukaryota; Fungi; Glomeromycota; Glomeromycetes; Archaeosporales; Ambisporaceae
Description: SSU rRNA
Rfam family: Eukaryotic small subunit ribosomal RNA
Source: RNAcentral
UUGGAGGGCAAGUCUGGUGCCAGCAGCCGCGGUAAUUCCAGCUCCAAUAGCGUAUAUUAAAGUUGUUGCAGUUAAAAAGCUCGUAGUUGAAUUUUGGGUUCGGCCGGGCGGUCCAUCCUCCGGAUGAGUACUGUUCCGACGCCGGACCUCACCUUCUGGUGAGACGGCAUGUCCUUUAUUGGGUGUGUCGGGGAACCAGGACCAUUACCUUGAAAAAAUUAGAGUGUUCAAAGCAGGCUUUUGCUCGAAUACAUUAGCAUGGAAUAAUGAAAUAGGACGCGUGGUGCUAUUUUGUUGGUUUCUAGAACCGCCGUAAUGAUUAAUAGGGAUAGUUGGGGGCAUUAGUAUUCAAUUGUCAGAGGUAAAAUUCUUGGAUUUAUUGAAGACUAACUACUGCGAAAGCAUUUGCCAAGGAUGUUUUCAUUAAUCAAGAACGAAAGUUAGGGGAUCGAAGACGAUCAGAUACCGUCGUAGUCUUAACCAUAAACUAUGCCGACUAGGGAUCGGACGAAGUUAAUUUUAUAAUGACGCGUUCGGCGCCUUACGGGAAAC